Molecule: transfer RNA, 86 nt
Filed under: Candidatus Woesearchaeota archaeon
Lineage: Archaea; Nanobdellati; Candidatus Woesearchaeota
Description: tRNA-Leu
Rfam family: tRNA
About the family: Transfer RNA (tRNA) molecules are approximately 80 nucleotides in length.
Source: RNAcentral
GCGGGGGUAGCAAAGCCUGGUCAAAUGCGCAGGACUUAAGAUCCUGUCCCUUAGUGGGUUCGUGGGUUCAAAUCCCGCCCCCCGCA